This 505-nucleotide ribosomal RNA is filed under the name uncultured bacterium. RNAcentral describes it as "partial 16S ribosomal RNA". It matches the Rfam family "Bacterial small subunit ribosomal RNA", at positions 28 to 507 of the family's 1533-position model. The record is from RNAcentral.
GACGAACGCUGGCGGCGUGCCUAAUACAUGCAAGUAGAACGCACAGUUUAUACCGUAGCUUGCUACACCAUAGACUGCGAGGUGCGAACGGGUGAGUAACGCGUACGUAACCUGCCUGGUAGCGGGGGAUAACUAUUGGAAACGAUAGCUAAUACCGCAUAAUAUUAAUUAUUGCAUGGUAAUUAAUGGAAAGGUGCAAUUGAACCACUACCAGACGGACCUUCGUUGGAUUAGCUAGUAGGUGAGGUAACGGCGGACCUAGGCGACGGUACAGAGCCGACCUGGGAGGGUGGUCGGCCAGCCUGGGACUGGGACCCGGCCCAGACGCCUACGGGAGGCAGCCGUAGGGCAUCUUCGGCGAUGGAGGAGAGUCUGACCGAGCAACGCCGCGUGAGUGAAGAAGGUUUUCGGAUCGUGAAACUCUGUUGUUAGGGAAGUACGGGUGUGAGGGUUGAAAGUUCACACUGUGACGGUAACUGACCAGAAAGGGACGGCUAACUACGUG